GACGAACGCUGGCGGCGUGCUUAACACAUGCAAGUCGAGCGGUAAGGCCCUUCGGGGUACACGAGCGGCGAACGGGUGAGUAACACGUGGGUGACCUGCCUCUAGCUCUGGGAUAAGCCUGGGAAACUGGGUCUAAUACCGGAUAUGACUCCACGGCGCAUGUUGUGGGGUGGAAAGCCUUGUGUGGCUAGAGAUGGGCCCGCGGCCUAUCAGCUUGUUGGUGGGGUGAUGGCCUACCAAGGCGACGACGGGUAGCCGGCCUGAGAGGGCGACCGGCCACACUGGGACUGAGACACGGCCCAGACUCCUACGGGAGGCAGCAGUGGGGAAUCUUGCGCAAUGGCGAAAGCCUGACGCAGCGACGCCGCGUGAGGGAUGACGGCC
RNAcentral lists this ribosomal RNA (384 nucleotides) under uncultured bacterium. RNAcentral's name for it is "bacterial SSU rRNA". It matches the Rfam family "Bacterial small subunit ribosomal RNA", at positions 28 to 416 of the family's 1533-position model. The record is from RNAcentral.